This is a long non-coding RNA of Mobula hypostoma (lesser devil ray), 823 nucleotides long. RefSeq lists it as uncharacterized. Lineage: Eukaryota; Metazoa; Chordata; Chondrichthyes; Myliobatiformes; Myliobatidae. The record is from RefSeq and is a predicted model, not a curated record. The transcript is spliced from 3 exons.
UUCUUUUGAAAACAUGAUAUUUCUCUUUGCCUCCUGUUCUGAGACAACAGACUGGUUGAGCUUUACACCAUAAGAUACAGGAGCAGAAGUAGGCCAUUCAGCCCAUCAAGUGUGCUCCACCAAUUGAUUAUGGCUGAUUUUUUUCAGCCCCCAUUCUCCUCAUAAUCCUUAAUCCCCUUACCAAUCAGGAGUGUUCUAUCAAUGUAUUCAGAUUGGAUUCAUCACGGUUUGUGAUGGCAACUGGUCUGCCCAUGAUCACAAGAAACUGCAGAGUUGCGGACAUAGCUCAGCUCACUAUCGAAGCCUGCCUCCCCUCCAUGGGCUCUGUCUACACUUCUCACAGCCUCAGUAAAGCAGCCAGUGUAAUCAAAAACCCCACCCACCCUGGACAUCCUCAAUUCUCCACUCUUUCAUCGGGAAGAAGAUGCAAGAGCAUGAAAGCUCAUAUCGCCAGGCUCAAGGACAGCUUCUACACACCCCGCCCAUUAUCAGACGAUUCAAUAGUUCCCUAGUAUGCAACAAUCGAGAUUCUGAAGAUGCUGGAAAUCCUGAGUAACAAACACAGAACACAGGAGGAACUCAGCAGGCAACCUCGGAGGCCAGGUCAUUGGGUGUACUUAAGGCAGAGCUUGAUCGGUUCUUGAUUGGACAUGGCAUCAAAGGUUUCGGGGAGAAGGCUGAGGAGGGGAGAAAAGGAUCAGCCAUGAUUGAAUGUUGGUGCAGACUCGAUGGGCCAAAUGGCCUAAUUCUGCUCCUGCGUCUUAUGGUUUUAUAAACAUCAGAAUGGGAAUGGGGUUUAAUGUCACUGAUGUUUCUCGUCAAA